Molecule: ribosomal RNA, 253 nt
Filed under: uncultured bacterium
Lineage: Bacteria
Description: partial 16S ribosomal RNA
Rfam family: Bacterial small subunit ribosomal RNA
Source: RNAcentral
UACGAAGGGGGCUAGCGUUAUUCGGAAUCACUGGGCGUAAAGCGCGUGUAGGCGGACAUACAAGUCAGGGGUGAAAUCCCGGAGCUUAACUUCGGAACUGCCUUUGAAACUGUAUGUCUUGAGCUCGUUAGAGGGUGGUGGAAUUCUCAGUGUAGAGGUGAAAUUCGUAGAGAUUGAGAGGAACACCGGUGGCGAAGGCGACCACCUGGGACGUAGCUGACGCUGAGACGCGAAAGCGUGGGGAGCGAACGGG